GUCAAGUUGCUGGCUACCUUGUAACUUGUACCUUGAAUUAGUCAAACUUUCAUUAAAUCUUACCCUGGAUUCAGUCAGACUAUUUCCUAACUUGUUUAACCGGCUGUUUAGCGCCCUUUGAGGAAUUUUACUGCAAACUUUGAAGCAAAACGAUGCUAUUUUAGAAAGCUCCCGGUUAUUUGAUUUCACCUUAGAUAUAUGAAUGUGUUUAUAUUAACUUUUGAUAAUACACAGUGUUUGCACAUUUGAACUUUCUGGUAAGAGUUAUUAGAAGUUCCUUAUUAUUCGAAUUGGAUUUUAUUCCCAGUGAAAUUGCAUUUUACUGAUUCUUUAUUUAUUCAAUGUGAUUUUUUGUUUCUGAAGACGAAAAGUAAUCCGAUUUUUGAGUUUUUCACAAAAGUUCUAACUUAAUUUAAAACGCAAAAAAUUAAAAAAAAUUUGCUUUUAAAUGCGUAAAAGGUUUUGAAAAUAUACAAAUAUUUUAAAAAAUUCUCUUUUAUUUUAUUUGUUGAAUCGCUUCUGUUUGUAUGUGUGCAAGUGUAUUCAUUCUUAACUGAAGGAUUAUAUCUAGUUUAUAUGUAUGUGAAUAUGUAAAUACAUAUGUGCGCGUAAGUAUGUAUAUAAAUAUAUAUGUAUACAAGUGUAAACGCAGUGCUGUUUCUAGAAGGGUGCUAACUCGG
This is a long non-coding RNA of Hydra vulgaris (swiftwater hydra), 680 nucleotides long. RefSeq lists it as uncharacterized. The record is from RefSeq and is a predicted model, not a curated record. NCBI's taxonomy places the organism in Eukaryota, Metazoa, Cnidaria, Hydrozoa, Anthoathecata, Hydridae.